RNAcentral lists this ribosomal RNA (1879 nucleotides) under Escherichia coli. RNAcentral's name for it is "partial 23S ribosomal RNA". It matches the Rfam family "Bacterial large subunit ribosomal RNA", at positions 984 to 2843 of the family's 2925-position model. The record is from RNAcentral. Lineage: Bacteria; Pseudomonadati; Pseudomonadota; Gammaproteobacteria; Enterobacterales; Enterobacteriaceae.
ACACACGGCGGGUGCUAACGUCCGUCGUGAAGAGGGAAACAACCCAGACCGCCAGCUAAGGUCCCAAAGUCAUGGUUAAGUGGGAAACGAUGUGGGAAGGCCCAGACAGCCAGGAUGUUGGCUUAGAAGCAGCCAUCAUUUAAAGAAAGCGUAAUAGCUCACUGGUCGAGUCGGCCUGCGCGGAAGAUGUAACGGGGCUAAACCAUGCACCGAAGCUGCGGCAGCGACACUGUGUGUUGUUGGGUAGGGGAGCGUUCUGUAAGCCUGCGAAGGUGUGCUGUGAGGCAUGCUGGAGGUAUCAGAAGUGCGAAUGCUGACAUAAGUAACGAUAAAGCGGGUGAAAAGCCCGCUCGCCGGAAGACCAAGGGUUCCUGUCCAACGUUAAUCGGGGCAGGGUGAGUCGACCCCUAAGGCGAGGCCGAAAGGCGUAGUCGAUGGGAAACAGGUUAAUAUUCCUGUACUUGGUGUUACUGCGAAGGGGGGACGGAGAAGGCUAUGUUGGCCGGGCGACGGUUGUCCCGGUUUAAGCGUGUAGGCUGGUUUUCCAGGCAAAUCCGGAAAAUCAAGGCUGAGGCGUGAUGACGAGGCACUACGGUGCUGAAGCAACAAAUGCCCUGCUUCCAGGAAAAGCCUCUAAGCAUCAGGUAACAUCAAAUCGUACCCCAAACCGACACAGGUGGUCAGGUAGAGAAUACCAAGGCGCUUGAGAGAACUCGGGUGAAGGAACUAGGCAAAAUGGUGCCGUAACUUCGGGAGAAGGCACGCUGAUACGUAGGUGAAGUCCCUCGCGGAUGGAGCUGAAAUCAGUCGAAGAUACCAGCUGGCUGCAACUGUUUAUUAAAAACACAGCACUGUGCAAACACGAAAGUGGACGUAUACGGUGUGACGCCUGCCCGGUGCCGGAAGGUUAAUUGAUGGGGUCAGCGCAAGCGAAGCUCUUGAUCGAAGCCCCGGUAAACGGCGGCCGUAACUAUAACGGUCCUAAGGUAGCGAAAUUCCUUGUCGGGUAAGUUCCGACCUGCACGAAUGGCGUAAUGAUGGCCAGGCUGUCUCCACCCGAGACUCAGUGAAAUUGAACUCGCUGUGAAGAUGCAGUGUACCCGCGGCAAGACGGAAAGACCCCGUGAACCUUUACUAUAGCUUGACACUGAACAUUGAGCCUUGAUGUGUAGGAUAGGUGGGAGGCUUUGAAGUGUGGACGCCAGUCUGCAUGGAGCCGACCUUGAAAUACCACCCUUUAAUGUUUGAUGUUCUAACGUUGACCCGUAAUCCGGGUUGCGGACAGUGUCUGGUGGGUAGUUUGACUGGGGCGGUCUCCUCCUAAAGAGUAACGGAGGAGCACGAAGGUUGGCUAAUCCUGGUCGGACAUCAGGAGGUUAGUGCAAUGGCAUAAGCCAGCUUGACUGCGAGCGUGACGGCGCGAGCAGGUGCGAAAGCAGGUCAUAGUGAUCCGGUGGUUCUGAAUGGAAGGGCCAUCGCUCAACGGAUAAAAGGUACUCCGGGGAUAACAGGCUGAUACCGCCCAAGAGUUCAUAUCGACGGCGGUGUUUGGCACCUCGAUGUCGGCUCAUCACAUCCUGGGGCUGAAGUAGGUCCCAAGGGUAUGGCUGUUCGCCAUUUAAAGUGGUACGCGAGCUGGGUUUAGAACGUCGUGAGACAGUUCGGUCCCUAUCUGCCGUGGGCGCUGGAGAAUUGAGGGGGGCUGCUCCUAGUACGAGAGGACCGGAGUGGACGCAUCACUGGUGUUCGGGUUGUCAUGCCAAUGGCACUGCCCGGUAGCUAAAUGCGGAAGAGAUAAGUGCUGAAAGCAUCUAAGCACGAAACUUGCCCCGAGAUGAGUUCUCCCUGACUCCUUGAGAGUCCUGAAGGAACGUUGAAG